CCGCGUGUGUGAAGAAGGCCUUCGGGUUGUAAAGCACUUUCAGUCGUGAGGAAGGUGGUGUAGUUAAUAGCUGCAUUAUUUGACGUUAGCGACAGAAGAAGCACCGGCUAACUCCGUGCCAGCAGCCGCGGUAAUACGGAGGGUGCGAGCGUUAAUCGGAAUUACUGGGCGUAAAGCGCAUGCAGGUGGUUUGUUAAGUCAGAUGUGAAAGCCCGGGGCUCAACCUCGGAAUAGCAUUUGAAACUGGCAGACUAGAGUACUGUAGAGGGGGGUAGAAUUUCAGGUGUAGCGGUGAAAUGCGUAGAGAUCUGAAGGAAUACCGGUGGCGAAGGCGGCCCCCUGGACAGAUACUGACACUCAGAUGCGAAAGCGUGGGGAGCAAACAGGAUUAGAUACCCUGGUAGUCCACGCCGUAAACGAUGUCUACUUGGAGGUUGUGGCCUUGAGCCGUGGCUUUCGGAGCUAACGCGUUAAGUAGACCGCCUGGGGAGUACGGUCGCAAGAUUAAAACUCAAAUGAAUUGACGGGGGCCCGCACAAGCGGUGGAGCAUGUGGUUUAAUUCGAUGCAACGCGAAGAACCUUACCUACUCUUGACAUCCAGAGAACUUUCCAGAGAUGGAUUGGUGCCUUCGGGAACUCUGAGACAGGUGCUGCAUGGCUGUCGUCAGCUCGUGUUGUGAAAUGUUGGGUUAAGUCCCGCAACGAGCGCAACCCUUAUCCUUGUUUGCCAGCGAGUAAUGUCGGGAACUCCAGGGAGACUGCCGGUGAUAAACCGGAGGAAGGUGGGGACGACGUCAAGUCAUCAUGGCCCUUACGAGUAGGGCUACACACGUGCUACAAUGGCGCAUACAGAGGGCGGCCAACUUGCGAGAGUGAGCGAAUCCCAAAAAGUGCGUCGUAGUCCGGAUUGGAGUCUGCAACUCGACUCCAUGAAGUCGGAAUCGCUAGUAAUCGUGGAUCAGAAUGCCACGGUGAAUACGUUCCCGGGCCUUGUACACACCGCCCGUCACACCAUGGGGAGUGGGCUGCAAAAGAAGUAGGUAGUUUAACCUUCGGGGGGACGCUUACCACUUUGGGUUCAUGACUGGGUG
RNAcentral lists this ribosomal RNA (1092 nucleotides) under Vibrio sp. 731M. RNAcentral describes it as "bacterial SSU rRNA". It matches the Rfam family "Bacterial small subunit ribosomal RNA", at positions 397 to 1482 of the family's 1533-position model. Lineage: Bacteria; Pseudomonadati; Pseudomonadota; Gammaproteobacteria; Vibrionales; Vibrionaceae. RNAcentral also lists the same sequence under 1 other name. The record is from RNAcentral.